CAAUAGCGUAUAUUUAAGUUGUUGCAGUUAAAAAGCUCGUAGUCGGAUUUUGGCUGAGAACGAUCGGUCCGCCGUUAGGUGUGCACUGAUUGGUCUCAGCUUCCUGGUGAGGAGGUGUGCUUCCCGGCCACUUAGUCACCGUGGUUACUUUGAAAAAAUUAGAGUGUUCAAAGCGGGCUUACGCUUGAAUAUAUUAGCAUGGAAUAACACCAUAGGACUCCUGUCCUAUUUCGUUGGUCUCGGGACGGGAGUAAUGAUUAAGAGGAACAGUUGGGGGCAUUCGUAUUUCAUUGUCAGAGGUGAAAUUCUUGGAUUUAUGAAAGACGAACUUCUGCGAAAGCAUUUGCCAAGGAUGUUUUCAUUGA
This 365-nucleotide ribosomal RNA is filed under the name uncultured eukaryote. Its description in RNAcentral is "partial 18S ribosomal RNA". It matches the Rfam family "Eukaryotic small subunit ribosomal RNA", at positions 592 to 976 of the family's 1831-position model. The record is from RNAcentral.